RNAcentral lists this ribosomal RNA (513 nucleotides) under Asiagomphus amamiensis. Its description in RNAcentral is "partial 16S rRNA". It matches the Rfam family "Bacterial large subunit ribosomal RNA", at positions 1829 to 2597 of the family's 2925-position model. The record is from RNAcentral. Lineage: Eukaryota; Metazoa; Arthropoda; Insecta; Odonata; Aeshnidae.
GUCCUCUUGUUUAUAUAUAUGAGGUCUGACCUGCCCGGUGAAAUUUAUUUUAACGGCCGCAGUAUUUUGACUGUGCAAAGGUAGCAUAAUCAUUAGUCUUUUAAUAGAAGGCUGGUAUGAAGGGUUUGACGAGGUGUUUACUGUCUCAUUUAAUUUGUAUUUAGAAUUUAACUUUUCAGUUAAAAGGCUGAAAUGGUAUUGGAAGACGAGAAGACCCUAUAGAGCUUUAUAAUUGAAAUUUUAAUUAUUUUUUGUUUAUUAUUUUUCAUUAUUAUUUUAAUUAUUUUGUUGGGGUGACAAAAAUAUAUAAUCAACUUUUUUAUUUAAUUAACAUUAAUUUAUGAUUAUUAGAUCCAUUCUUAGUGAUUGUUAGAUUAAGUUACCUUAGGGAUAACAGCGUAAUCUUCCUUCAGAGUUCAUAUUUACGGGAAGGCUUGCGACCUCGAUGUUGGAUUAAGAUAAUAAUUAGGUGUAGCCGCUUAAUAUAUAGGUCUGUUCGACCUUUAAAUUCUU